This is a non-coding RNA of Chelonoidis abingdonii (Abingdon island giant tortoise), 165 nucleotides long. The record is from RefSeq and is a predicted model, not a curated record. NCBI's taxonomy places the organism in Eukaryota, Metazoa, Chordata, Testudines, Testudinidae.
CUGAAGUCUUUAAUAAUGCUGGAGAGUGAGGCCUUGUCUACCCUACAGGGGAAAUUCAAUCUAAGCUAUGCAAUAUGAGUUACAUGAAUAGUGUAACUCAAGUCUACAUAGCUUAGUCUACUUACUGUGGGGUACACGCUAUGCGAUAUUGAUGGGAGACCCUCU